AGAUGUGAGGGUGAUCUGGCUGUGACAUCUGUCACCCCACUGAUUGCCAGGGUUGAUUCAGUUGAUCUGACUGGCUAGGUGGGUGUCCCCUUCUCCCUCAAGGCUCCAUGUGUGUCGCUCCCAAAGUUGAGCACUUGGUUAAAGAGGAUGACCACCUCCCAUAGAGGAGGGCAAUUCCUCGGUCAAGGAUAUAUGAAUAGCUACACUCCCCUGCUAGAAUCUCCAAACAAGCUCUCAAAGCCCAAAAGAUGAGCUCCAUCGAUUCCAUCCCUUUGGUGGAAAU
This 283-nucleotide small RNA is filed under the name Octodon degus (degu). Its description in RNAcentral is "7SK RNA (ENSODEG00000024073.1)". It matches the Rfam family "7SK RNA", at positions 1 to 257 of the family's 331-position model. Rfam says of the family: 7SK was discovered as an abundant small nuclear RNA in the mid-70s but a possible function has only recently been suggested. The record is from RNAcentral. Lineage: Eukaryota; Metazoa; Chordata; Mammalia; Rodentia; Octodontidae.